Molecule: ribosomal RNA, 404 nt
Filed under: Verrucomicrobiota bacterium
Lineage: Bacteria; Pseudomonadati; Verrucomicrobiota
Description: Verrucomicrobia bacterium partial 16S ribosomal RNA
Rfam family: Bacterial small subunit ribosomal RNA
Source: RNAcentral
UGGGGAAUAUUGCACAAUGGAGGGAACUCUGAUGCAGCGACGCCGCGUGAGUGAAGAAGUAUUUCGGUAUGUAUAUCUCUAUCAGUAGGGAAGAUAAUGACGGUACCUACAUAAGAAGCCCCGGCUAAAUACGUGCUAGCAGCCGCGGUAAUACGCAUGGGGCAAGCGUUAUCCGGAUUUACUGGGUGUAGAGGGAGCGUAGGCGGAAGUACAAGUCGGGAGCGAAAACUCGGGGCUCAACCCCGAGACUGCUCUCGAAACUGUACAGCUAGAGUGCAGGAAGGGCAGGCGGAAUUCCUGGUGUAGCGGUGAAAUGCGUAGAUAUCAGGAGGAACACCGGUGGCGAAGGCGGCCUGCUGGACUGUAACUGACGCUGAGGCUCGAAAGCGUGAGGAGCGAACAGG